Molecule: ribosomal RNA, 253 nt
Filed under: uncultured bacterium
Lineage: Bacteria
Description: partial 16S ribosomal RNA
Rfam family: Bacterial small subunit ribosomal RNA
Source: RNAcentral
UACAGAGGGUGCUAGCGUUGUUCGGAAUCAUUGGGCGUAAAGAGCGUGUAGGCGGCCCGGUAAGUCCGCUGUGAAAGUCCAGGGCUCAACCCUGGGAUGCCGGUGGAUACUGUCGGGCUCGAGUCCGGAAGAGGAGUGUGGAAUCCCUGGUGUAGCGGUGAAAUGCGCAGAUAUCAGGAGGAACACCAAUGGCGAAGGCAGCACUCUGGGACGUGACUGACGCUGAGACGCGAAAGCGUGGGGAGCAAACAGG